GACGAACGUUGGCGGCGUGCUUAACACAUGCAAGUCGAACGGAAAGGCCCUGCUUUUGUGGGGUGCUCGAGUGGCGAACGGGUGAGUAACACGUGAGUAACCUGCCCUUGACUUUGGGAUAACUUCAGGAAACUGGGGCUAAUACCGGAUAGGAGCUCCUGCUGCAUGGUGGGGGUUGGAAAGUUUCGGCGGUUGGGGAUGGACUCGCGGCUUAUCAGCUUGUUGGUGGGGUAGUGGCUUACCAAGGCUUUGACGGGUAGCCGGCCUGAGAGGGUGACCGGCCACAUUGGGACUGAGAUACGGCCCAGACUCCUACGGGAGGCAGCAGUGGGGAAUAUUGCACAAUGGGCGGAAGCCUGAUGCAGCAACGCCGCGUGCGGGAUGACGGCCUUCGGGUUGUAAACCGCUUUCGCCUGUGACGAAGCGUGAGUGACGGUAAUGGGUAAAGAAGCACCGGCUAACUACGUGCCAGCAGCCGCGGUGAUACGUAGGGUGCGAGCGUUGUCCGGAUUUAUUGGGCGUAAAGGGCUCGUAGGUGGUUGAUCGCGUCGGAAGUGUAAUCUUGGGGCUUAACCCUGAGCGUGCUUUCGAUACGGGUUGACUUGAGGAAGGUAGGGGAGAAUGGAAUUCCUGGUGGAGCGGUGGAAUGCGCAGAUAUCAGGAGGAACACCAGUGGCGAAGGCGGUUCUCUGGGCCUUUCCUGACGCUGAGGAGCGAAAGCGUGGGGAGCGAACAGGCUUAGAUACCCUGGUAGUCCACGCUGUAAACGGUGGGUACUAGGUGUGGGGUCCAUUCCACGGGUUCCGUGCCGUAGCUAACGCUUUAAGUACCCCGCCUGGGGAGUACGGCCGCAAGGCUAAAACUCAAAGGAAUUGACGGGGCCCCGCACAAGCGGCGGAGCAUGCGGAUUAAUUCGAUGCAACGCGUAGAACCUUACCUGGGUUUGACAUGGAUCGGGAGUGCUCAGAGAUGGGUGUGCCUCUUUUGGGGUCGGUUCACAGGUGGUGCAUGGCUGUCGUCAGCUCGUGUCGUGAGAUGUUGGGUUAAGUCCCGCAACGAGCGCAACCCUUGUUCACUGUUGCCAGCACGUUAUGGUGGGGACUCAGUGGAGACCGCCGGGGUCAACUCGGAGGAAGGUGGGGAUGACGUCAAGUCAUCAUGCCCCUUAUGUCCAGGGCUUCACGCAUGCUACAAUGGCUGGUACAGAGAGUGGCGAGCCUGUGAGGGUGAGCGAAUCUCGGAAAGCCGGUCUCAGUUCGGAUUGGGGUCUGCAACUCGACCUCAUGAAGUCGGAGUCGCUAGUAAUCGCAGAUCAGCAACGCUGCGGUGAAUACGUUCCCGGG
RNAcentral lists this ribosomal RNA (1343 nucleotides) under uncultured bacterium. RNAcentral describes it as "16S ribosomal RNA". It matches the Rfam family "Bacterial small subunit ribosomal RNA", at positions 28 to 1378 of the family's 1533-position model. The record is from RNAcentral.